RNAcentral lists this long non-coding RNA (404 nucleotides) under Homo sapiens (human). RNAcentral describes it as "HSALNT0302413". Lineage: Eukaryota; Metazoa; Chordata; Mammalia; Primates; Hominidae. The record is from RNAcentral.
UGGAACCAGCAAAGAAGACAGAAACAACAGCCACAGAGCUAAAAAGGAGAAGCAAGUGAGUCUCCAAAACUAAGUGAAAAAGAUGUGUUUUGAAGAAAAGGGAGUGAGCAACUGUGUUGAGUGCUGAAGACAGGUCAAGUAUAAAGAGGGCUGAGAUUGGACCACUGGAUUUGGCAGCAUGGAGGUACCUGAUGCCACCAAUUCCUGAGUUUUUCUGCUGUUCAGUGGAGUGGACUAUCGCCUUCAAAUUAGCCUGGCCCUGGGCAGGAAAUGAAGACCCUGAAUCAGCCCAUCAGAAGCAGGAGAUCCCUUUCGUCGACCUUCUCAUUCCAUCUCUAUGCUGGAGCAUUCUUGUGACCUAACCAUAUUGAAACUGCCUUUGCAAAAUAUGACUGAGACAGUGA